ACCGAACAUAACCUCGGGGGCCGUGCGCGCGGUUCCCCGGACGCUGAGCGCGCUCCGCUGUCCCUUCGCGGACGGCGGUCGCUCGAAUGGCAGCCCGCCGCCGACACCGGUCCACGCGACCGGCGGCCAAGCUUUGCAGAUUCGCAGAAGCGAAGGCCGUGUCAGCCAGAGUGGCGGAGCGAAAGUUGCACACUCACCAACCAA
Molecule: unclassified non-coding RNA, 204 nt
Filed under: uncultured Ascomycota
Lineage: Eukaryota; Fungi; Ascomycota
Description: sequence contains ITS2
Source: RNAcentral